This 426-nucleotide ribosomal RNA is filed under the name Salmonella enterica. RNAcentral describes it as "partial 23S ribosomal RNA". It matches the Rfam family "Bacterial large subunit ribosomal RNA", at positions 766 to 1190 of the family's 2925-position model. The record is from RNAcentral. Lineage: Bacteria; Pseudomonadati; Pseudomonadota; Gammaproteobacteria; Enterobacterales; Enterobacteriaceae. RNAcentral also lists the same sequence under 1 other name.
CUGGAGGACCGAACCGACUAAUGUUGAAAAAUUAGCGGAUGACCUGUGGCUGGGGGUGAAAGGCCAAUCAAACCGGGAGAUAGCUGGUUCUCCCCGAAAGCUAUUUAGGUAGCGCCUCGUGAAUUCAUCUCCGGGGGUAGAGCACUGUUUCGGCUAGGGGGCCAUCCCGGCUUACCAACCCGAUGCAAACUGCGAAUACCGGAGAAUGUUAUCACGGGAGACACACGGCGGGUGCUAACGUCCGUCGUGAAGAGGGAAACAACCCAGACCGCCAGCUAAGGUCCCAAAGUCAUGGUUAAGUGGGAAACGAUGUGGGAAGGCCCAGACAGCCAGGAUGUUGGCUUAGAAGCAGCCAUCAUUUAAAGAAAGCGUAAUAGCUCACUGGUCGAGUCGGCCUGCGCGGAAGAUGUAACGGGGCUAAACCAU